GCUAUUAAUUGUAGGGGUUUUAGUUUUUCUUUUAAGAGGUUUAUAACCUCCCUAAUUAAAAAGUUUCUAACAUUUCUACUUAACUUCAUAUUUUCUAAAAUUUUUUCUCUUUUCUCCCUUUUUUUCUAAAACCUAAGCGGGACUUUUAUUUUUCUCAAAACCUCUUGUUGCCAAUUUGAUCAGACCCCUUUUUCCCUUUUUCUUAAAAUGUAAGCGGGAUUUUAAUUUUUCACUAAACCCUUGCUCCCAACUUUCAUGAUACCCGCUCCAAAAUAUCUCUUCCUAUUUUCCCCCAAAUCUCAACCCUUAAUUUUCACUUAAGUUUCGUCCAGAUCUUUCGUCCAGUGCUUUCGUUCCAUUGUACUCGUCGGCUAGGUUGAGCAAAGUGUGGUCGCCCGCCAGUUCAGCAAAGUGUGGUCGUCGUGCACAACCCAACUCGCGGCCAGGUUUAAUUCUUCAACCUGGUAUUUUUCCCGAACCCUUUUCUAAACCUCUUAUGCCCCGACAUCAAUGUUGUACUAGAAGGUUCUUGCUUUGAAUUUAUAUACAUCCCUUUUGAUAUUAAAUUACUGUUGAUAAUUGUGUGGUUUGUAACUAAGAAAUUAUGGAAAACGUGGUUUGUCUGAUUAUAUUUGCCAUUGUGUUGGUCUGUUAUGUAUGUAUUAAUAUUAAAAACCAGAACUAGAGUAAAAGUCUCUUUUAUGUAGUCAACUCAUAUUAUGAAAGUAGAAGUCUUUUGUGCAUUGUUGUUACUGGAUCUGUGCGUGCUUAAUGAAUUUUGGAAAGUUCCUUUUGGACAAGUUGUAAUAUAUUAGGUUUAAUAAUUAGACAAAUGAGUUAAGUAAAGAUUGAACAGGUUGCAUGUUAAAACUGGUACAAGAUAUGAGUUAAGUCUAUUGCCUAGAGUUUGAACAGAAUGUGUUUUUAGUCUAAUAGAAACAGCCUUAGCAUCAUAGACAUUCCUGGAGCAUGAUGUAUAUUUGUAUGUGUGAUGCUUUUGCUGCACUGAAAUUUUGGUACUUGGUUGUUUAUUGGUGCUGUGUUAUAUUUUUUUAAAAGAAAAAGAAAUUAGAGGUUUGAUGUCAGAUUAUAGGACUUAAGUAUAUGGGUUGAUCAUUGUAGUAGUUGCUGGUUUUGAGUGUGAUGCAAUUAUACUCUGUUUUGUGUACUCUGUUGAGUCUGUUUGAGGGGUAUAGCUUGGAUAUCAUGAUUUUAUGGUCUGUAUGCAUACUGUUAAAGUUUAAAUACUGUUAAGGUAUUCAUAUCUCCUUAGAGAAAAAAUGUCUCCACUAACUCAUAUGACUAAAGCAUUGUGCUAACAAAAUAUAUUAAACUGAAAUCAUUAAAAUACUAAUUCAACUUACGAAUUUCAACAUUAAAAGCAUAUGUAAGGAUAAGAUCAUAUUAUAAAAAAAAGGUUAUUUAUAUAUAGCUGUUGUUAAUCAACAUUAUAUGUUCAAUCUCAUGUACAAAAUAACUUUAACAAUCACCAAAGUAAUCAAACACUAACAACUUCAAGCCCUCAUGAUGUGUUAUAAAUAUCUUAUAUUAAUUUUAUCUUCCCGAAUUUGGUUAAAGUUAAAAUUAUUUUAUUUGCAUAGAAACCUUUUAUAUAUAUAUAUAUAUAAUAUUGUUUUCCUUAUUUUUUAAUUUUCUGUUAUGAAUGUUGAUUUCAGUGGUUUUUAAUUGUGAAUUAUUAGUUUAGUGCAUGAUAAGAGUUUCAGUUUGAUAAAUGAUUAAUUCAUGGAAAACCGCAAUUCCUAAUAAAGACGGCAUAAAUUAAACAAAUAUUAAAUAAUUUAUGGAUCUUAAUUUGGUCGUUUUAAUUGGUUUUUAAUUAUAUUAAUGAAGAAUAAGAAACUAAUCUAUGGAUUUACAAGAUGCAGUUGUUGAGCAAAUAAUGUCACCAAGAUAAGAAUAUAGUUGACUCUAUCUUUAAGAACAUAAGAAACAAACAUAUUAAGGAUUAAAUAUUUCAUCUUUUAAAAUGUUUUUCAUCAAACAAACUCCCUUAUCUGUUUACAGUAUCAAUCAAACUCCCUUUACCUACAAUUCAAAAUAUGGGAAUCUAUCUUUCUUUUAUAACUGUACCAUAGAAUCAUUGUUUUUUAUUGUAUAUUGAUUUGCUAUUUGAAAAUUUUGUGAUUUCACUUGGCUUAUGAUUAUAAAUUGUAAGGUUUGAAUGCUUGUGUUGUUGUACCCUGAUAUAAUAAGGUAUGUUGUUCAUUUAAUUCCAGCCAUAUAAUUUUAUAUUCCUGUUAGGUGCUUUGAGUACGGUGGUGAUUGUAUUGGUUAUUGCAUGGGUAUUGAAACUGGGUUAUUGAAAAAAUAUAAUGGAAUAAUGAGGAAAAGUUGGUGUUUUAGUUCAUAUAAAAUUAGUUUUCUUAUAUGGUUUUAAAAGAAAAGUAAUCCCUAGGCAUGAAUAAGUCUUGGAGCAUUGGCAUAUUUAUCUUGGUCAAAAUGAUUGAAUCCAUAAUUUGUUGAAACUAACGCAUAAAUAGGUAGUGCAAUGUUUAUGGAUUUUUUUAAAUAUAUAAUUGGUUAUUUAGUUUUUUAAAUUCUGGAAAACUGUGCAUGAUAUAAAAGAAAAAUUGAAAUUUAAAUAUCUUUUUUUAAGUAAUAAACUAGCUUUUUAUAACUUGAAAAAUCUGUAUCUCUUUAAUAUUUUGAUUAUUUUGGGAUAUGAGUUUUUACCCUCUAAACCUAUUACUCUAAAGCUUACCAUCAAUUAUCAAUUACAAGUAAUGCAAUAUAAGCUUAUAGUUUCAGCUUUUCUCCUAAACCACUUUGUAGGUAGUUCACAGAUUCAAACGUGCUUAUUAAUAAGCUGGUGUUAUAACUAAACUUGGGAGGCAUUGUGUUAUUACUAGUUGUUCUACUAUUUGACUGCCAUCAAACUUUGGAAUCUCACAGUUCUCAAGGUUAGUAAAUUUAAUUUCAUUUGGAAGCAUUUUAUUCAUUAAUUCAAUAUUUGUUUGUAUAUUCCAUGAAUAUUGUUAUCUUUUUGAUGUGGUAGUGUAUUUCAUUUUGUUUAGGAAUAAUUUUGAAUGGAUAAAUCUUGGCAACAAAAGUACAACAAUUUAAAAUUAGUGGCAACAAAAGUACAACAGUUUAGAAUCAGCGUUUAAAGCAUACAUGAUAACGAAGGAAGGAAAGAUUCCUCAUGAAUUUACCUCAUUCUUUGAUUCUCAACUUCAAGUAAGUUACUGAUAUAGUUGAAGCAUUAUGCCUUAUAUACUUUAAUUAUAAGCAUUCCUUACUAUUAAUAUUUUUGUUUUAUCAUUUCAGGAAGGUGGUGAUGCAAAUGAGCUCAAGUCUUCUUUGGGUGGUACAAUAGGAUCNNNNN
RNAcentral lists this long non-coding RNA (3346 nucleotides) under Vigna radiata. Its description in RNAcentral is "long non-coding RNA (VRAD_LNC000183)". The record is from RNAcentral. Lineage: Eukaryota; Viridiplantae; Streptophyta; Magnoliopsida; Fabales; Fabaceae.